Molecule: transfer RNA, 87 nt
Filed under: endosymbiont of Acanthamoeba sp. UWC8
Lineage: Bacteria; Pseudomonadati; Pseudomonadota; Alphaproteobacteria; Holosporales; Holosporaceae
Description: tRNA-Leu (CAG) (tRNA-Leu-CAG-1-1)
Rfam family: tRNA
About the family: Transfer RNA (tRNA) molecules are approximately 80 nucleotides in length. Their secondary structure includes four short double-helical elements and three loops (D, anti-codon, and T loops).
Source: RNAcentral
GCCCGGAUGGCGGAAUUGGUAGACGCGCUAGUUUCAGGUACUAGUAGCUUUAUAGCUGUGGAAGUUCAAGUCUUCUUUCGGGCACCA